This 468-nucleotide ribosomal RNA is filed under the name uncultured bacterium. RNAcentral's name for it is "partial 16S ribosomal RNA". It matches the Rfam family "Bacterial small subunit ribosomal RNA", at positions 28 to 507 of the family's 1533-position model. The record is from RNAcentral.
GACGAACGCUGGCGGCGUGCUUAACACAUGCAAGUCGAACGGAAAGGCCCUGCUUUUGUGGGGUGCUCGAGUGGCGAACGGGUGAGUAACACGUGAGUAACCUGCCCUUGACUUUGGGAUAACUUCAGGAAACUGGGGCUAAUACCGUAUAGGAGCUCCUGCUGCAUGGUGGGGGUUGGAAAGUUUCGGCGGUUGGGGCUGGACUGGCGGCUUAUCAGCUUGUUGGUGGGGUAGUGGCUGACCAAGGCUUUGACGGGUAGCCGGCCUGAGAGGGUGACCGGCCACAUUGGGACUGAGAUACGGACCAGAGUCGUACGGGAGGCAGCAGUGGGGAAUAUUGCACAGUGGGCGGAAGCCUGAUGCAGAAACGCCGCGUGCGGGAUGACGGCCUUCGGGUUGUAAACCGCUUUCGCCUGUGACGAAGCGUGAGUGACGGUAAUGGGUAAAGAAGCACCGGCUAACUACGUG